This 522-nucleotide ribosomal RNA is filed under the name uncultured bacterium. Its description in RNAcentral is "bacterial SSU rRNA". It matches the Rfam family "Bacterial small subunit ribosomal RNA", at positions 1 to 524 of the family's 1533-position model. The record is from RNAcentral.
AGAAGUUUGAUCCUGGCUCAGAUUGAACGCUAGCGGAAUGCCUUACACAUGCAAGUCGAACGGCAGCACGGACUUCGGUCUGGUGGCGAGUGGCGAACGGGUGAGUAAUGUAUCGGAACGUACCCAGUAGCGGGGGAUAACUACUCGAAAGAGUAGCUAAUACCGCAUACGCCCUUCGGGGGAAAGGGGGGGAUCUUCGGACCUCCCACUAUUGGAGCGGCUGAUAUCGGAUUAGCUAGUUGGUGAGGUAAAGGCUCACCAAGGCGACGAUCCGUAGCUGGUUUGAGAGGACGACCAGCCACACUGGAACUGAGACACGGUCCAGACUCCUACGGGAGGCAGCAGUGGGGAAUAUUGGACAAUGGGCGCAAGCCUGAUCCAGCCAUGCCGCGUGUCUGAAGAAGGCCUUCGGGUUGUAAAGGACUUUUGUCCGGGAGGAAACCCUGAUCGUUAAUAGCGGUCGGGACUGACAGUACCGGAAGAAUAAGCACCGGCUAACUACGUGCCAGCAGCCGCGGUAAU